UACGUAGGGUGCAAGCGUUAAUCGGAAUUACUGGGCGUAAAGCGUGCGCAGGCGGUUUUGUAAGACAGAUGUGAAAUCCCGGGCUCAACCUGGGAACUGCAUUUGUGACUGCACAGCUGGAGUGCGGCAGAGGGGGAUGGAAUUCCGCGUGUAGCAGUGAAAUGCGUAGAUAUGCGGAGGAACACCGAUGGCGAAGGCAAUCCCCUGGGCCUGCACUGACGCUCAUGCACGAAAGCGUGGGGAGCAAACAGG
This 252-nucleotide ribosomal RNA is filed under the name uncultured bacterium. RNAcentral's name for it is "partial 16S ribosomal RNA". It matches the Rfam family "Bacterial small subunit ribosomal RNA", at positions 524 to 776 of the family's 1533-position model. The record is from RNAcentral.